Oryzias melastigma (Indian medaka) is the source of this 663-nucleotide long non-coding RNA. RefSeq lists it as uncharacterized. The record is from RefSeq and is a predicted model, not a curated record. The transcript has 2 exons. NCBI's taxonomy places the organism in Eukaryota, Metazoa, Chordata, Actinopteri, Beloniformes, Adrianichthyidae.
UUGGGAAUGAGAAUCUGUUGACUAUACAGUCAGAAUAGCAUUUAUUGUGUUCAAGUUUAAGUGCAUACAUGUAAAAAGUGUCUUGAUGUAAAGCAAGACAUAACACCUGCAAUAAUGUUCAAAACAAAAGAGAAACAACUGAACACAAUUUUCAAACGGCUGGGACACCAUCCAUACCCUAAUUGUUCAAAGUUCAACCUGGUUUAACUUUCAACAUGCGUUCAAUGGCUGCAUGUGUAACAGGUGUUUAGUUUAGUUUAUUUAAUUCCACCAAAUUUGAGGUAAAUAGUUUUUUUUUACAUUUCUACCUGUGUGUUAGUCUGUCCGAGGGUAUUUGAACUCACCACGGUGACGCAGUAGACGGUGCUGCACAUGCGCACUCAGACUGCUCCAAACUGUGGCUGAGUUGUUACGGGGAAGCACUGACGAAAAUCCCAGACAGCCGUGUAACAUUUGUGUUUUCUGUCAACCAGGUAUGAUGUUAGUUCCUCAUUUUCUCAUGUUCUUUUCAUGUUUUAUUUCACGUGCUGUGGGGGGAGGUACAUGCACACUGAGACUGCUGCGAACUGUGGCUGAGUUGUUAGGGGGAAGCACUGACGAAAAUCCCAGACAGCCGUGUAACAUUUGUGUUUUCUGUCAACCAGAAUAAAGAAACUAAAUCAA